ACUCCUACGGGAGGCAGCAGCAGGGAAUUUUGCGCAAUGGGCGAAAGCCUGACGCAGCGACACCGCGUGGAGGAUCGAAGGCCUUCGGGUCGUAAACUCCCUUUAUACGGGAAGAUUAUGACGGUACCGUAUGAAUAAGCACCGACUAACUACGUGCCAGCAGCCGCGGUAAUAAU
This 176-nucleotide ribosomal RNA is filed under the name uncultured bacterium. Its description in RNAcentral is "partial 16S ribosomal RNA". It matches the Rfam family "Bacterial small subunit ribosomal RNA", at positions 335 to 526 of the family's 1533-position model. The record is from RNAcentral.